UAAUACAGAGACCCCAAGCGUUAUCCGGAUUUACUGGGCGUAAAGGGUCCGUAGGCGCUCCAUUAGGUUUUCUGUUAAAUUUCCAGCGCUUAACGUUGGAAGUGCAGAAAAAACCAAUGGGGUAGAGGGCGCUAAGGGCUGAUGGAACCGUCGGUGUAGGGGUGAAAUCCAUUGAUAUCGACGGGAACACCAGAAGCGAAGGCAUUCAGCUGGGGCGACCCUGACGCUGAGGGACGAAAGCGUGGGCAGAAAAAAGGAUUAGAUACCCUUGUAUUCCACGCCGUAAACGAUGGACACUAGCUAUUUGAAGUGUCGACCCUUCAAGUGGCGAAGCUAACGCGUUAAGUGUCCCGCCUGGGAAGUACGAGCGCAAGCUUA
Molecule: ribosomal RNA, 378 nt
Filed under: uncultured bacterium
Lineage: Bacteria
Description: bacterial SSU rRNA
Rfam family: Bacterial small subunit ribosomal RNA
Source: RNAcentral